AAAGUUGGUUGGUGGCUUUCAAAGCAAAAUAAUUUUAAUAUGAAAUUUAUUCAAAAUGUGGAUGGAUAGACUUUGUUCCAUGAUUUUUGUAAGGGUGGCCCAAAAAGGAUGGAUGAUUCCUUAAUGUGAAAGCUAGUUGUUGACCGUAGUCCCUAAAUGCUAUUAUCUAUUUUGCUUUGAUGGUCCCUUAGUCCCUAAAUGCAGUUUUGGAACUACAAUAUGAAGUGAUUUUGCAAAUGCCACUGGUAUAACAUUUGCGUUGAUAAUUUUAAAUGUAAGUCUUCGAUUUAGUAACUGAAAAAAGGUAGAACCUUACCCAUUUUUAUUAUUCUUGAUCAUUUAAUAAGAUUAAAUCUUCUGCUUGAUAAAUACAAAACCUUUUAUUGCUGAACAUAGCAGUGUUCAAGUUCAACGGUGAUUUGGAAACCGAAAUCUGUAAUAGCAGCCUGUCAUCAUUUUAGAUUCAUUAUGAGACCACUGUCCCAUAGAUGUGGAGAGACUCUAGAGAGAUGAUUGAAGCUUUGGUUACAGGAUAGAAACUAGGGAACAAUAACAGGUGCUCUGAACUUUCUAUUGAAUCCCAGCUUUCAAGGUUGAUUUGUUAACUGGGCGGGCAUUUUAUGUCCGAAGUAAAUGUGGGAACAAGUUUUCUUAAUAUGGUAAUUCUAUGAUUUGAGCUGCCUAUCCCCCUAUAUGUAUGGUGUAGAAUCAGUUGAAAUUAUAUGUGCUGGAAAUAUUGAUAAAACAGUUGAAAUUUGGUCAAGGUGCCUGUCAGAUGAGUAUGAGGGGAAAUCUUAUGUUGACCUUCUUCAGGAUUUGAUGGAAAAACUAUUGUUCUUGCCUUGGCAACUGGGCAGAAGCGCUUUAGUGCCUCUCUGUGCAAGCUCUUUGAGAAAUAUGCUGAAACUUAGCAAGUCAAGGGUUGCUGACCACAACAAUGGAGUAUCUAAAACUUUUGGGUUCUGAACAACUUUCGGCAGAACUUGUGAUAUUGAAGUACCGAAUUGCACUGUCUACGGAACCUGCUCCGACGGUUUCAACCGUUUAUCUUGGGCGAGAAAUGGUUCUUCUUCUGAAGGUUUUUCUCUUGGUCUCGUUGCUGGUGAAUUAUUCGUGGAAACAUUGAUAUCUGGAAUCCUCUCACUCUGAUACGCUCGGACGAAAAUGAAAGUUCUCUCGUUGGACACCUUAUAAGGGACAGGUUCGUGUACUUGAGUUUAAUACAAUUGCACCCAAUCUUCUUGCAUUUGGGGCUGAGGAUGGUGAAAUUUGCAUAUGGGAUUUGGCCAAUCCUUCAGAGCCUACACAUUUUCCACCGUUAAAGGGUAGUGGCUCUGCUUCCCAGGGGGAAGUUUCACUCUUAUCUUGGAAUAGUAAAGUGCAACACAUAUUAGCAUUCACUUCAUAUAAUGGGACCACUGUGGUUUGGGACCUAAAGAAACAAAAGCCAGUGAUAAGCUUUGCAGACUCAGUUAGACGGCGGUACUCAGCUUUGCAGUGGAAUCCUGAUGUUGCUACCCAACUUGUUGUUGCAUCAGAUGAAGACGGAUCUCCUUCUAUAUGGCUAUAGUCUCUGCAGAUUGUCUGUUUAUUUUAAUGUGUAUUGACUUUAUAUAAGCAUGUUGACGCAGCUUUGGGAUAUGAGAAAUAUAAUGACACUGAUUAAGGAAAAUGUGGGGCACACUAGAGGUAAAGUCAGCCAGUCGUUUAUUUAUGAUUUAUUGUAUUCUCUUCCUUAGUGCUGUAUUU
This is a long non-coding RNA of Trifolium pratense (red clover), 1749 nucleotides long. RefSeq lists it as uncharacterized. Lineage: Eukaryota; Viridiplantae; Streptophyta; Magnoliopsida; Fabales; Fabaceae. The transcript is spliced from 8 exons. The record is from RefSeq and is a predicted model, not a curated record.